Molecule: transfer RNA, 87 nt
Rfam family: tRNA
About the family: Transfer RNA (tRNA) molecules are approximately 80 nucleotides in length. Their secondary structure includes four short double-helical elements and three loops (D, anti-codon, and T loops).
Source: Rfam
GGAGAGAUGGCAGAGCGGUUGAAUGCACCGGUCUUGAAAACCGGCAUAGGUUUAUCCCUAUCCAGGGUUCGAAUCCCUGUCUCUCCG